RNAcentral lists this ribosomal RNA (468 nucleotides) under uncultured bacterium. RNAcentral describes it as "partial 16S ribosomal RNA". It matches the Rfam family "Bacterial small subunit ribosomal RNA", at positions 28 to 507 of the family's 1533-position model. The record is from RNAcentral.
GACGAACGCUGGCGGCGUGCUUAACACAUGCAAGUCGAUCGGAAAGGCCCUGCUUUUGUGGGGUGCUCGAGUGGCGAACGUGUGAGUAACACGUCAGUAACCUCCCCUUGACUGUUGGAUGACUUCAGGAAACUGGGUCUAAUCCCGGGUAGGAGCUCCUGCUGCCUUGUGGGGGUUGGAAAGUUUCGGCGGUUGGGGAUGGACUCGCGCCUUAUCAGCUUGUUGGUGGGGUAGUGGCUUACCAAGGCUUUGACGGGUAGCCGGCCUGAGAGGGUGACCGGCCACAUUGGGACUGAGAUACGGCCAAGACUCAUACGGGAGGCAGCAGUGGGCAAUCUUGCGAAAUGGGGGGAAGUCCGAGGCAGGAACGACGAGUGCGGGAUGACGGACCUCGGGUUGUAAAACGCCUUCGAAUGUGACGAAGGGUGAGUGACGGUAAUGGGUACAGAGGAACGGGCUCCCUACGUG